GGACCCGCACAAGCAGUGGAGCAUGUGGUUUAAUUCGAUGAUACGCGAGGAACCUUACCAGGGCUUAAAUGUAGAACGACCGAUUUGGAAACAAGUCUUCUCUUUGAGCGGUCUACAAGGUGCUGCAUGGUUGUCGUCAGCUCGUGCCGUGAGGUGUCGGGUUAAGUCCCCUUAACGAGCGCAACCCCCUAUCUCUAGUUGCCAGCGGAUAAUGCCGGGGACUCUAGAGAAACUGCCCGUGCAAACGGUGAGGAAGGUGGGAUGACGUCAAAUCAUCACGGCCCUUACGUCCUGGGCUACACACGUGCUACAAUGGUCGGUACAGAGGGCAGCUACCACGUGAGUGGAUGCAAAUCUCGAAAGCCGAUCUCAGUUCGGAUUGAAGUCUGCAACUCGACUUCAUGAAGCUGGAAUCGCUAG
This 420-nucleotide ribosomal RNA is filed under the name uncultured bacterium. Its description in RNAcentral is "bacterial SSU rRNA". It matches the Rfam family "Bacterial small subunit ribosomal RNA", at positions 917 to 1338 of the family's 1533-position model. The record is from RNAcentral.